GACGAACGCUGGCGGCGUGCUUAACACAUGCAAGUCGAACGGGAUCCGGGCUUUCGGGUUUGGUGAGAGUGGCGAACGGGUGAGUAACACGUGAGUAACCUGCCCCCUUCUUUGGGAUAACGUCGGGAAAUCGGCGCUAAUACUGGAUAUUCUUGCUGCAUCGCAUGGUGUGGUUUGGAAAGGGUUUCUGGUGGGGGAUGGGCUCGCGGCCUAUCAGCUUGUUGGUGGGGUGAUGGCCUACCAAGGCUUUGACGGGUAGCCGGCCUGAGAGGGUGUCCGGCCACACUGGGACUGAGACACGGCCCAGACUCCUACGGGAGGCAGCAGUGGGGAAUAUUGCACAAUGGGCGCAAGCCUGAUGCAGCGACGCCGCGUGAGGGAUGACGGCCUUCGGGUUGUAAACCCCUUUCAGUAUGGAACAAGGAUCCUUCUUUUGGGGGGUUUGAGGGUACGUGCAGAAGAAGCGCCGGCUAACUACGUGC
Molecule: ribosomal RNA, 482 nt
Filed under: uncultured bacterium
Lineage: Bacteria
Description: partial 16S ribosomal RNA
Rfam family: Bacterial small subunit ribosomal RNA
Source: RNAcentral